Long non-coding RNA from Myotis daubentonii (Daubenton's bat), 1193 nucleotides. RefSeq lists it as uncharacterized. The transcript has 2 exons. The record is from RefSeq and is a predicted model, not a curated record. NCBI's taxonomy places the organism in Eukaryota, Metazoa, Chordata, Mammalia, Chiroptera, Vespertilionidae.
UCUUUCUCCUCCUCCUGAUCUUCCUCCUCCACCUCCUCCUCCUCCUCCCCCCUCCCCUCCUCCUCCUCUUCAGUCCUCCUUUCCCCCUCUUUCUCUUCUCUGCCCCUCAGUUGGGAAAAAAAAAAAAAAGAAAAAGAAAAGAAAAGAAAAAGAAGAAAAAAAAAUUGUCAAGCCCCCGAACUGAAGGCUACGAGCGGCCCGUCAGCAACCCACAUGUAACCGAACUGUCGUGUUUCAUGGCUUUUUGCCACUCCAGCUGUCAAUCAAAGCCCGGAAUGUCAAGAAGAAACUCCAAGAUUAUAAAUGCAUCCUUCUUAUCUCCUCGACAUAUAAGAAAAGGUGAGUAACAAAGAAAAGAAGACGCAAAAGAAAAGAAAAAGUUGGCUCCCAGAAUUUUAUUUCAAGGGACAGUUAGGCGAAUCCAGCUUAGCCGGGGCGGGAAGGAUGAGAGCGGAAAAAGCCACGCUGGUCUCGCCGCUGAAGGUUUUGACUUUGCAGAGUGGUCUUCAUAUUGGAUCCAAGUUUCCCGUGCAGCGCCGCUCUCAGAGGAGUUUAUUCCCGGUUUUCCAAUUUUUACUCUUCUAAUUUUUUAAAUCUUGCAUAUUUAUUGUCGCCAAUGGGAUUGUUGUUGUUUUAAAUAUCUGUAUAGUAAGUGCCAAUUCUUUUUUUAAAAAGGAAACUCAAUUUCCUUGAUACAUGCUCCUUUAAAGAUCAACUUCGAACUGAACCUCUGCCAUCUCAGAAUUUAAAGAUUCAACGUUGUUACCUUCUGCUGCUUUUACCACCGCAUUUUUUUCUCGUAGUGAAACUGUGGAGUUAGCAUCCCUACAGCUUCGAUUUAGAAAAACUGCACUGGUAUUUUCUUUCAAACCUGUUUCUUGUGAGGCACUGCAUCCGAGUAAAAACAAUUCAGACCAAUAGACGAUUUCCAUAUUUUCAAACAGUUGUUAAAAUAAUAAUGGGUUGAUUGCUCCCAUCAUAAUCUUGGGUUUUACAAAAGAAAAAAAGUUUAAAAUCUAUUUUCAUCUUUUGGGCGAUGCAGAAGCCUUUUUAACCUGCGAACAUACACUCCCCCCCCCCCCAUUCUGUAACUUCUUUCCCAUUUUAUUGAAUACAUACAUUAAAGCAAACAACAGGGACAAUUUAGUUUGAUGUAGGAGGGAGAGAGAAAAGGGAUAUUUUAAGAUACUGUU